AUUGAACGCUGGCAGCAGGCUUAACACAUGCAAGUCGAACGGUAACAUAAAGAAGCUUACUUCUUUGAUGACGAGUGGCGGACGGGUGAGUAAUGCUUGGGAAUCUAGCUUAUGGAGGGGGAUAACUACGGGAAACUGUAGCUAAUACCGCGUAAUAUCGAAAGAUUAAAGUGUGGGACCUUCGGGCCACAUGCCAUAGGAUGAGCCCAAGUGGGAUUAGGUAGUUGGUGAGGUAAAGGCUCACCAAGCCGACGAUCUCUAGCUGGUCUGAGAGGAUGACCAGCCACACUGGGACUGAGACACGGCCCAGACUCCUACGGGAGGCAGCAGUGGGGAAUAUUGCGCAAUGGGGGCAACCCUGACGCAGCCAUGCCGCGUGAAUGAAGAAGGCCUUCGGGUUGUAAAGUUCUUUCGGUAGCGAGGAAGGCAUUUAGUUUAAUAGACUAGGUGAUUGACGUUAACUACAGAAGAAGCACCGGCUAACUCCGUGCCAGCAGCCGCGGUAAUACGGAGGGUGCGAGCGUUAAUCGGAAUAACUGGGCGUAAAGGGCACGCAGGCGGUGACUUAAGUGAGGUGUGAAAGCCCCGGGCUUAACCUGGGAAUUGCAUUUCAUACUGGGUCGCUAGAGUACUUUAGGGAGGGGUAGAAUUCCACGUGUAGCGGUGAAAUGCGUAGAGAUGUGGAGGAAUACCGAAGGCGAAGGCAGCCCCUUGGGAAUGUACUGACGCUCAUGUGCGAAAGCGUGGGGAGCAAACAGG
Molecule: ribosomal RNA, 759 nt
Filed under: Parahaemophilus parainfluenzae
Lineage: Bacteria; Pseudomonadati; Pseudomonadota; Gammaproteobacteria; Pasteurellales; Pasteurellaceae
Description: Haemophilus parainfluenzae bacterial SSU rRNA
Rfam family: Bacterial small subunit ribosomal RNA
Source: RNAcentral